GCCUGGGUGGUGGAACAGGCAGACACAAGGGACUUAAAAUCCCUUGGGGUUAAUCCCCGUGCGGGUUCGAUCCCCGCCCCAGGCA
Molecule: transfer RNA, 85 nt
Filed under: Desulfoglaeba alkanexedens ALDC
Lineage: Bacteria; Pseudomonadati; Thermodesulfobacteriota; Syntrophobacteria; Syntrophobacterales; Syntrophobacteraceae
Also listed under: 1 other name
Rfam family: tRNA
About the family: Transfer RNA (tRNA) molecules are approximately 80 nucleotides in length. Their secondary structure includes four short double-helical elements and three loops (D, anti-codon, and T loops).
Source: Rfam by way of RNAcentral